ACCCGUUCUCACCGAACUCCCA
Molecule: non-coding RNA, 22 nt
Filed under: Arabidopsis thaliana (thale cress)
Lineage: Eukaryota; Viridiplantae; Streptophyta; Magnoliopsida; Brassicales; Brassicaceae
Source: RNAcentral